AGCUGGGUGACCUUGUGCAAGUCACUUUAACCCUCUGGGACUUGUGGCCCUCAUCUGUAAAAUGGGUAGAAGGUCAGAGUGGACCUCGUGGCCUGAGAGGCUAGUACCCCAUGCUGCAUGUAAGUCUUACAUCCUCCUCUUUGGUGAUUGGAUACUGACCCUCUCCCCAGGGGUUCCUGCACAGAGCUGGAAUUCUCUCUGGUGUCUUUGCAUUCUAGUGGGUGGAAUGCCUUGUUUCUCAGUAGCAAUGAGAAAUGUUAAUGUGAGGUUAUGAAAGCAAGCCAAGAGCCAUGGAAUAAUUAAAACACACACGCACACAAAGAAGGAAAAGCGAGAGGGGGAAACACACUUAAUGGACAAGGGAUGAGUAAAACCCAAUGGACUGAGAAAACCCCAGAGCUGAACUUCACAUGACCCCGCGUGCUGCCUGCAGUUGCGACACCCGCGUGCCCCUUACGCUCCGCCGGCCUCUCAGUGAUGUCAGUGGGCCAUGGGCCCCACAGGAAGCAGGGGCUGCCAUCAGCCUGGUGGAGCGUGCCAGCCCGCUCCUCCUCCACGGCCCACUUCCCACCCACCCGGGUCUCCAGAUAACAUGAAGCCAUAGCUCCCAGGCUCGUCAGCGGGGGAAACCAACUCAGUGCUUCUCAGAAAAUAGAACCCCAGCCCAUUAGUGAUGUCCACGCAGGCAAGAGAUGACCAAGAAGAAUGUUUGCCUUUUAGGAGUUCUCUGCCUGAAACCAGCAGGUUUCCUUUAGGGAUAGGGUGACUGUGCUUGCUGAACACCUCUAGGUCGUCAGUGAAUGAAAUAAUUCAUUCUGUGCUUGAGUGUCUAAGACCCAGGGGGUUUAGGAAUAAUUAGGAUACUGGCUGUACCCUUGGAGUUCUGUGCUGCUUGGGGGAUACGACUCAAACUCACAGACAUCUGUGGCUCAAAUCAAGGCAUAUAGAUGCAGUGACUCUUGGAACAUUCGAGGGAGAAUCACCACCUCUGCUGGUGGAGGAAAGGCCAGGAACUGCCCACCUAGUUUUCCCAUGACCCCAGCCUGUAGCGGGAUAUGUCAGAAGAUUUGGAUUUAGAGGAACUUGGGUUUGACAAAAUAGAAGUGUAUGUAUAUAAACAGAGUUGGGAGUGAUGGGGGAUAGGAUGCUGACAGCACCUUGGUAGUCCCUCCCCCUACGUGACAGUAUUGACUUCAUAGUGUUGUUGUGAGGCUUGAAGAAGAUACAAGAGGGAAGAGGAGCGUUCCUUGCCGUGCAGAUGCAAAUGCUCAUUGUUACUUGUUCUGCCUCUCUGUGUCUGUGACAUCCAGCCCUGUGUGGGCUACCCUGGUUGCAAAGUGGGCCUCCUGCCGUUGAGCA
This 1359-nucleotide long non-coding RNA is filed under the name Homo sapiens (human). RNAcentral's name for it is "non-protein coding lnc-IQCH-7:1". Lineage: Eukaryota; Metazoa; Chordata; Mammalia; Primates; Hominidae. The record is from RNAcentral.